RNAcentral lists this long non-coding RNA (661 nucleotides) under Equus caballus (horse). RNAcentral describes it as "lncRNA (ENSECAG00000053662.1)". Lineage: Eukaryota; Metazoa; Chordata; Mammalia; Perissodactyla; Equidae. The record is from RNAcentral.
GCACAAACAUUCAGACCAUCGCAAACACGUAUUUUGAUCCUUAUGAGCAUAUUUUUAUUGCAGUGAUAUUGGAUAUCUAGUCACCGUGGACUUGGGUUCUACUGCUCUAUAGCACCAUGAAAUGGAAAACCAGCUUUCCUGGCUAUUAUGGGUUGAAUUGUGUCCCCCCCAAAAGACAUAUCAAAGUUCUAAACCCCAUCAUCCCAAAAUAUGACAUUAUUUGGAAGUAGGGUCAUUACAGAGAUAAUCAAAUUAAAGUGGGGUCAUUAGGGUGGGUCCUAAUCCAGUCAGAUUGGUGUCCUUAUAAAAACGGGAACUUUGGACGCAGACACAGACAAGUGCAGAAGGAAGACUGUGAAACGGCCACAUGACGACGGAGGCAGAGAUUGGACUGACCAGCUGCAAACCAAGGAUCAUGUGGCCCUGGUGGUCACUCCCAGAGUCUGGAGGAGGCAGGAAGGAUUCCACCUCGAGUCCCAGAGGGAGCACCGCCGUGCCCGCACCUGGCUGUUGGACUUCUAGCCUCCACAACUGGGAAGGCAGGGAGCUUCCGUGCAAAGUCAAGUGCAGAAGGGAGAGACAGUGACCGGGAGGAUCAAUGCCGACCGUCUUGUAUCCUUACAACGUAACUGAGGAGGAAAGGUGAAGAUCCCUGCUUGAA